Molecule: ribosomal RNA, 155 nt
Filed under: leaf litter ascomycete strain its247
Lineage: Eukaryota; Fungi; Ascomycota
Description: 5.8S ribosomal RNA
Rfam family: 5.8S ribosomal RNA
About the family: 5.8S ribosomal RNA (5.8S rRNA) is a component of the large subunit of the eukaryotic ribosome. It is transcribed by RNA polymerase I as part of the 45S precursor that also contains 18S and 28S rRNA.
Source: RNAcentral
AACUUUCAACAACGGAUCUCUUGGUUCUCGCNUCGAUGAAGAACGCAGCGAAAUGCGAUAAGUAAUGUGAAUUGCAGAAUUCAGUGAAUCAUCGAAUCUUUGAACGCACAUUGCGCCCCUUGGUAUUCCGAGGGGCAUGCCUGUUCGAGCGUCNU